Molecule: non-coding RNA, 275 nt
Organism: Cinara cedri
Lineage: Eukaryota; Metazoa; Arthropoda; Insecta; Hemiptera; Aphididae
Source: the annotation of a GenBank genome assembly
AGUAUAUUUAACCGUUUUUUUCGGUUUUGCACAUUUAAUGAGAAAACUCCAGAGAACAUUGAAAAAUGACCUUCCUAAAGUACUACCCGAAAAAAUGUCCUUUCAUAAAAGGGUCUUCAUCGUAUAUAUCGGAGUAAGCUUUAUGAAAGAAAAACUAUGGGUCACGAUGGGUGGGCCACUGUUGUAGGUGAGAAUUUGGGAAGGUAGAGGAUACAUUUAAUGUAUAUCUGUACGAAAAUAUUAAUAAUUGCUAACGAAAAACGAUUCUGAGCGGA